UACGUAGGGGGCAAGCGUUGUCCGGAUUUAUUGGGCGUAAAGCGCGCGCAGGCGGUCUAUUAAGUCUGAUGUGAAAGCCCACGGCUCAACCGUGGAGGGCCAUUGGAAACUGGUAGGCUUGAGUGCAGGAGAGGAGAGCGGAAUUCCCGGUGUAGCGGUGAAAUGCGCAGAUAUCGGGAGGAACACCAAUGGCGAAGGCAGCUCGCUGGGACGGUACUGACGCUGAGGCGCGAAAGCGUGGGGAGCAAACAGG
RNAcentral lists this ribosomal RNA (253 nucleotides) under uncultured bacterium. Its description in RNAcentral is "partial 16S ribosomal RNA". It matches the Rfam family "Bacterial small subunit ribosomal RNA", at positions 524 to 776 of the family's 1533-position model. The record is from RNAcentral.